This is a non-coding RNA of Megalopta genalis, 1007 nucleotides long. The record is from RefSeq and is a predicted model, not a curated record. Lineage: Eukaryota; Metazoa; Arthropoda; Insecta; Hymenoptera; Halictidae.
UCAAGAUGGCCGUUGGCCGUUUCGAUUUUUCUAGAGCACCGUUUCGCAGCGCACCUUUAUUGAUCGAGUAAAUUUGAUUUUAAACGCGUCGCACGUUCGAAGCCGUAACGGACGUUUCUCGGCGAGAACUUCGUAUAUCCCCGUUUCGGCCACGGUUUCAAAUAAUUUCGGUGGACACGAGCAGAUCGAUAAUAAGUUUCGAAUUCUGAACAACGACCACAGACGCGUUCGCGAGCGAACUAUAUCGCGUCGAUAAUACGAAUUUCAUGGAAGAACCCGCGAGAUUCAAUCCAGAAACGAACAUCUCUUCCCGCCAACGAGUCAACGAUCACGAACGAAUUUGUUUACAUCGAUUCGUCGUUUAAUUUCCCUCGAAGACGGAUCGGUCGGGGAGUUUGCGAAAAGAAAUGUUUAAUUUGAGCCGUCGGACUUUGAAAAAUCCCAAUGAGACAAUCUACGAGACAAUCGGUUGUCCAGUUUAGAUUUUUACCGUGCUAUCGUAGUUAUUUAAAAAUCCCGAUCCAUCUAUCGUAAAGUGCAAUUCUCCAGCUUUAAUCGGUGCUUUAAAACAAUAGCGAAUGUAUUGGAAUAUUAUUUUUUUCUCGAUCGUAUGCAAAUUCCAGCAAGAAUCAUAUGGUCUCUUAAAGCGAGUACAGCACCACCACUUGUAGCGGUAAAAUGCCCAAACUGCAAGCCAAAGGUUACUCAAAAGAUAAAGUACAUCGAUGAUUGUAAUCUAUGCUCUUCCGAUAGAUGGCGUUUCGCAGAAUUUUACACUAGCAACAUCUAGCGGAGGAAUCUAGAAACCGUUUGGCUAGUAGUUUCAGCAUUUUGCCGCUACGUACGAUGGCGCUGUACGCGUACUCGAACGACGCAAAUCGUUCUUGCCAGAAUUUGCAGAUAAUAUAACGUCGAAAUCGGUAAGAAUCAUUCGUACCAGUAUAAAUAAGAAUUAACAUAAAAAUGAUCGUAACGUGUAAAUUGCAAACAACGGAGAUCUAGGUUCA